GAUCAUGGCUCAGGAUGAACGCUAGCUACAGGCUUAACACAUGCAAGUCGAGGGGCAGCAUGGUCUUAGCUUGCUAAGGCUGAUGGCGACCGGCGCACGGGUGAGUAACACGUAUCUAACCUGCCGUCUACACUUGGCCAGCCUUCUGAAAGGAAGAUUAAUCCAGGAUGGAUCAUGAGUUCACAUGUCCGCAUGAUUAAAGGUAUUUUCCGGUAGACGAUGGGGA
This 226-nucleotide ribosomal RNA is filed under the name uncultured bacterium. RNAcentral describes it as "partial 16S ribosomal RNA". It matches the Rfam family "Bacterial small subunit ribosomal RNA", at positions 15 to 231 of the family's 1533-position model. The record is from RNAcentral.